UGGCGGGGGCACGGGGGGCACGGGAGGAGCAGUGGGGAAUAUUGGACAAUGGGCGAAAGCCUGAUCCAGCCAUGUCGCGUGUGUGAAGAAGGUCUUCGGAUUGUAAAGCACUUUAAGUUGGGAGGAAGGGUUGUAGAUUAAUACUCUGCAAUUUUGACGUUACCGUCAGAAUAAGCACCGGCUAACUCUGUGCCAGCAGCCGCGGUAAUAAU
Molecule: ribosomal RNA, 212 nt
Filed under: uncultured bacterium
Lineage: Bacteria
Description: partial 16S ribosomal RNA
Rfam family: Bacterial small subunit ribosomal RNA
Source: RNAcentral